UAAAAGUCGUAACAAGGUCUCCGUUGGUGAACCAGCGGAGGGAUCAUU
RNAcentral lists this ribosomal RNA (48 nucleotides) under Beauveria bassiana. RNAcentral's name for it is "partial 18S ribosomal RNA". It matches the Rfam family "Eukaryotic small subunit ribosomal RNA", at positions 1783 to 1830 of the family's 1831-position model. Lineage: Eukaryota; Fungi; Ascomycota; Sordariomycetes; Hypocreales; Cordycipitaceae. The record is from RNAcentral. RNAcentral also lists the same sequence under 1 other name.